This 253-nucleotide ribosomal RNA is filed under the name uncultured bacterium. RNAcentral's name for it is "partial 16S ribosomal RNA". It matches the Rfam family "Bacterial small subunit ribosomal RNA", at positions 524 to 776 of the family's 1533-position model. The record is from RNAcentral.
UACGAAGGGGGCUAGCGUUGCUCGGAAUCACUGGGCGUAAAGGGCGCGUAGGCGGACAGUUUAGUCAGAGGUGAAAGCCCAGGGCUCAACCUUGGAAUUGCCUUUGAUACUGGCUGUCUUGAGUUCGGGAGAGGUGAGUGGAAUGCCGAGUGUAGAGGUGAAAUUCGUAGAUAUUCGCAAGAACACCAGUGGCGAAGGCGGCUCACUGGCCCGAUACUGACGCUGAGGCACGAAAGCGUGGGGAGCAAACAGG